UGGUCAUUACCAAGGCUGCUAGGAUAUUACUGUUUCUGGUGAGCUGUGGACAUGACCAUAAAGUAAGGCCAUCAGACUCUUGACUUGCCACAUUGUGUGGCACUAGGUCUGCUGGGAAUAAAG
Molecule: small nucleolar RNA, 123 nt
Organism: Apteryx owenii (little spotted kiwi)
Lineage: Eukaryota; Metazoa; Chordata; Aves; Apterygiformes; Apterygidae
Source: Ensembl